GGUUGCGAUCAUACCAGCACUAAUGCACCGGAUCCCAUCUGAAUUCCGCAGUUAAGCGUGCUUGGGCGAGAGUAGUACUAGGAUGGGUGACCCUCUGGGAAGUCCUCGUGUUACACCCUC
This 120-nucleotide ribosomal RNA is filed under the name Helianthus annuus (common sunflower). The record is from RNAcentral. Lineage: Eukaryota; Viridiplantae; Streptophyta; Magnoliopsida; Asterales; Asteraceae.